AGAGUUUGAUCAUGGCUCAGAACGAACGCUGGCGGCAGGCUUAACACAUGCAAGUCGAACGGUUGUAGCAAUACAGCAGUGGCGCACGGGUGAGUAACGCGUGGGAACAUACCUUUCAGUCGGGAAUAACCUCGGGAAACUGUGGCUAAUACUCGAUAUUCUCUACGGAGGAAAGAUUUAUCGCUGAAAGAUUGGCCCGC
RNAcentral lists this ribosomal RNA (200 nucleotides) under uncultured bacterium. RNAcentral describes it as "partial 16S ribosomal RNA". It matches the Rfam family "Bacterial small subunit ribosomal RNA", at positions 8 to 234 of the family's 1533-position model. The record is from RNAcentral.